GGAACCCUUCGCUGGGCAAACGAUAGUUUCCAAACUUAAGGUUGUGGAUGAAACUUUUCGGUGCGGCUGCUGCAGGGGCCCCAGACCCGGGGUGCUGACCCGAGGCGAGGGAGCCGGCGCACGCACGCUUAGCUGCUAAGGAGCCCGCGGUGUCGGCGAAAGCUCCGGACAUGAACUUGGAAGGUCGCAGGUUAAGGGGUGUAGGCUUUGGGUUCCCCUGUGUUGUUAUGCGCCUUUGAUGGGGGUGAGGUGGUGAGGGGGAGCAAUAGGGUGGAGACAGGCAAUAGUUUCAGUCAACAGGAAGUGAGUUGUUGGCCAUUCCGUCGCCUUUGUAGCCAGUAACAAAGCACGAGACUGAAAUGGGCCCCUCCUAUCUGCUGAUCCUUACCUUCCAGGAUUUCUGAAAAACAUCUUUUUUUCCCCCUCUUACACUGAAGUUUCUGAUUGCUCUUUACGGCUCUCCACUCAAUUAUAGAGCCAUAAUUUGUAGUUUUCCAAACUCACAGUGCCUGCUGUCAGUUGCUGCAAGCUGCACAGUGGUCCUCUAAUGAUCUUUAUGUCUAUGCUCAUGCCAGGGUAAUCUUAGCCUUUUAUUGUGCCAAAGACCCCUUUGGCAAUUUGGUGAGGCCUAUUUCUCAAGCAGUGUUUUAAAAUGCAUACAAUGAAAUAUAUAGGAUUACCCAAGAAAUAAAUUAUAUUUAAAUGCUGUUAUCAAAAAUAGUAAAGGCAGUUUUGUUAUAUAACAAUAGCUUUACAUGUGGUAUAUAGUUACAGGUGUGCUUCUUUUUCAUUAAAUAACAGGAGCUAGGGCCAAGGCUAAUAAACUACCAUAACUUCAAAACAAUGAAGAAUAUAAUUAUUUGGAGAUAGCAGUGAAAACUGCACUAUGAUGAACUGAUUUUUAUUGGUAAUGUAACAGCAAAUGCUACCCUGGUUUUGCCUACAUUCAUACUUGAUGUGAAAAAAAUUAAGAGGUUUGUAUCUUUUUUCUACAGAAGUUUUUGAACCCCUUGGAUUCUGUCUAUGGACACCAAGUUAAGAAUACCUGGUAUAAAGGAAAGCCUUAUGCAUGUGGUUUCCAACCCACAGAAUUUCAGAGAUCCUCCAUGAAGUCUCAAAAAUUAUUCUCAUGGCUAGGGAACCAUCCACCUGCAUUUUUUUGCCGCGUCCUCCCGGGGACCCCAGGGCCUCAUAGCUUCUGUGGAUUGCUUUCCGGCUCCUCCUCUGGCUCCUGAACGGUCCUGCCUCUGUGCUCCAGCUGAAGCAAUGCCAUUUGUCUUUUCCCCUGCUCUCGCCAAUCCUGUCUCCAGCAGGUCCCUUUCAGGAUCUUUUUUUGUUGUUGUUAUCAGCCAGCUCCAGCAGUGAAGAAUAUAGAUUUUGAUGUCUAUGCCUGCACUCUAAUUCCACUUUGCAGCAAGCCAUGGG
Molecule: long non-coding RNA, 1425 nt
Filed under: Macaca mulatta (Rhesus monkey)
Lineage: Eukaryota; Metazoa; Chordata; Mammalia; Primates; Cercopithecidae
Description: lncRNA (ENSMMUG00000060688.1)
Source: RNAcentral